GGCGUUUCUGUGGAUGUGCGCGAAGUUUGUUUGCUGAAGUGCUGUGUAAAAGUGCACUGACAUGCAAGACAUCCAAAAAGAAGAACCUCACUCGGGAGAGGUGAAAAACUCACCGGCCACGAUAUUUCAGUUAUCAUACAGUUACGAAGUGUGUGACGUUGGGUGGAUCCAUCUUGCCAAUGGCUGAAACGCCCCACAUGAGUGUGGUUCUGCAAAGCUUCAUGAAACAGUCCUGCAUUUGUGAGAAGGGCAUCAACAUAUGAACCAAGAUUCUACUGGUCUACCAUUUGGUCCUCGCAAAUUUCUCUGCACUCAUCCAAGAUUCCGAGGAGGUGUCUUCAGUCUACUUCACAUCGCUGAAAAUAUUUCACCAAACCCACGUUCUGUUACCUACGGUGCACGCUGCUACGUUAUCAUCGACAGGUUAUGACGACAUCAUUCAUAUCUGUUACCCUCCCGUCGUGCUUCCGUCGAUGUCAACGGUGGUGCCACCAUGGGGACUUAUAAAAGCCAGCAGUCUUGCCUUUGGCAUCAUUGGACACGGAUGCUCCUUCUGGAGCACAACGAUGAAUAAUCCGCUGUGCUUCAUUCCACAGUGCAUCGGAAGUGGAACUACUUGUGGUUGUGCAGUGCUGUGUGGGUGACUAAUGAGGAUUCUUAUCAAGGAACAUUCUUCUACAUAUUUACGUUCUUGUGCAUGGGUGGAGUUGACAGAGAUGCUUUGUAGAAGUACGAGAAGAAUUUCUCAAGUAAGCGCUAUAAGUUCCUAUUUCUGGCAGGUACUGCUGUCGACAAGUAGCUCCCUUGGUCGCCAUAUUGGACAAAUACAGCUGAGAACAGCUGCAAGAAUGCUGAUGCUACAGGAGAGAGGCUAUAACAUGCUUCAAAUGCAAUAGUAGCGCCACACAUUUUUGAGUGGCUGCAUAAUGCCUCAUCUACAAAUACCGUGAAUCUUGUUUAUAACGAACUCGA
Molecule: long non-coding RNA, 972 nt
Organism: Ornithodoros turicata
Lineage: Eukaryota; Metazoa; Arthropoda; Arachnida; Ixodida; Argasidae
Exons: 4
Source: RefSeq, a predicted model, not a curated record